Molecule: unclassified non-coding RNA, 23 nt
Filed under: Mus musculus (house mouse)
Lineage: Eukaryota; Metazoa; Chordata; Mammalia; Rodentia; Muridae
Description: oocyte_clustered_small_RNA3055
Source: RNAcentral
UGAGACCGAACUUGCUGUAAUCA